Molecule: non-coding RNA, 135 nt
Organism: Pseudonaja textilis
Lineage: Eukaryota; Metazoa; Chordata; Lepidosauria; Squamata; Elapidae
Source: RefSeq, a predicted model, not a curated record
GAACAAAACUCCGUGUUGGACAAAGGAAAGGCAUCCGGCCAUUGAAACAUUCUGCUAGCUCUGUUCGGUUGCCCAGACACCACCCUUCAAGGGAUUAUGGGGUCGUUAAAAGAUAGUGAUGAUAAUUCACUCAAC